CUAACAGGCCCUCCCUGGGGAGGCCAGAGUCUAAUGUGGGGCCCAAGCGUGUCCAGGGGAGGAGUGGGCAAUGCUGUGGUUGCCCCGGCAGCCCAGGGACCCAGGCAGGCCCCAAGGGCAGUGUGUUUGGGAUUAAAGUCCGAUGGUGGGGUGUGCUGGAGCCUAGCAGCUGCGGUUGGGAUCUACUCCAGGGGAGGAAUGGGGAAGCGAGCUCAGGAGAUUCCAGAGCGGAAGAGCAGAUGGGGCUCCAGAAGAAGCAUGAGUCUCACCCCCAGGGCUGGGGGCCAACGUGAAAGGCAAGGCCUGGGAGCCAGGAUUUGGACCAACCAACUGGCUCAAGUCUUCCAGGUUCACGAAACCGUCGUUUUCCUCAGUGGAUCAGGAGACGUUAGUAUUCCGGGGGCCAAUUUGAUAAGGGCCUGGCGUAGGUUUCAGGCCAUCCAAGGCCUUCUAGUGGAUCCGGUUGAUGCCUUUUUCUUAAGAAAUACAAAUCCGAGCCUUUGGCAGAGAUCUGGGUUGGGAGGGUGUGGGUCCUCCACUUCCUGGAGACUUUAAAGGACAGCGCCAGAGCUAACAUGGACCGGCACUUUAGUUCACUGUCCCAUGGUGACCUUUGCAGAGGUCACGUACCAAGCCCCCCUCAGCUCCUUCUCCACCCCUCCCUGCCACUCUCUUCUCCCCAAGUGUCCUCCUGAAGUUGCUCUGUGGCUCUCCCUGUUGUCCUGGAAGGUCCGUCCCUGUGAGCCCUGAAAGGCUGCGGGUUCCGGUACUGCCCAUCUGGUAUCUCCUCGCUGCCCAACCCACUUCGAUUUUGGCUAAAGGAGGAGUCCCAAGGGUGUGUGCUGGGAGGAUAUUGCUGGAACGAGGACCAGAAGUUCCAACUUUCAUUAUGAAACAAUCCCGUUCCUUCAUCUUCAGCUUCUCUUUCACAUUCUGUGGUGUUCUUUAAAUUGUUUGGGUUUUGGUCAUCUCUCUGUUCAUGGUCAUUCUGAGGGUGCUGGGGUUGAAGAUGGAAUUCUUUUCAAAUUCCUGGGCAGCCUCAGGGUGAACUCAGAAUUUCUGACUUGGUACAUGGCAGAGUGUGUGUAGGACACAGCCCCACUAUUGAGAUGUGUCCUUGACACACAGUCCACAAAAUCCAGACCUAGAAUUCAAACUCCAAAUCUGGUUUCCAGAGUCCCCUUUGCACCCACUUUUUUGGGUGAACUGAAAUCCCUUGAAAGCUCUCUCUCAGUUCUCACAGACACUACAUGGGAAGGCCGUGCUACAGUGCACUUGCUGCACUCCAUCCCCAGGAGAAGUCUUUGAUAGAGGCUGAGAUGAAAAUAUGGCAUUGACCGCUCAGGCUGUAAUGAGGCCAUCACUGGGUGACCGCUCCUACUAACCCUUUCCCCCCCCAAACAGCUGCUAGUAAGAAACCACAGGAAUAGAACAGAUCUCCCCAAGCCCCUGACACAUGGAAUCAUAACAGCAGACAAUGCAGUGGGUAGGACUUCAGUCCAGAUGGGGACAGCCUGCAUUCAGCUCUGGCUCACCCACUUGCUAGGUGUACUGCCUUCGCCUCAGGCUGCCCCUUGCUGAAAUGGGGAUGAUAAAGCCAUGCAUAACACAGUAUUAUUCUGAGGGUGACAUGAAACCACAAAGGUGAAAUACUUGGCAUGAAGGAAGUACUUGAUAAAUACUUUUAUUAUAUAAUAAUGAUAUAAUAAUUGCAGUAAUUAUUGAUACUCUCUUUGGAGUGGGCUUUAUGAUCUAUCAGGCAGGCUUCUUGAGAAUAUUUUGCUAAUUUUCUGUCAUAGGUCCCCAAAGUGACAUCUAUCCCAUGAGGUUAAUUUCCUUAAACUAAAGACUUUUGUUCUUUUUGUUUUUUUCGGAGGGGGAGAAUACUAG
This 1890-nucleotide long non-coding RNA is filed under the name Marmota monax (woodchuck). Lineage: Eukaryota; Metazoa; Chordata; Mammalia; Rodentia; Sciuridae. The record is from RNAcentral.